RNAcentral lists this long non-coding RNA (547 nucleotides) under Cairina moschata (Muscovy duck). RNAcentral's name for it is "domestica (muscovy Duck (domestic type)) lncRNA (ENSCMMG00000009968.1)". The record is from RNAcentral. Lineage: Eukaryota; Metazoa; Chordata; Aves; Anseriformes; Anatidae.
AAGCCAGCAGCAUGGAGGAGAGGAACGGAGACCACUGUGUUCAUAUGGCCAGGUAGCAAGUAAAAAGGACAGACUGGAUGUUUAAUAUUGUUCUGUUUCUAGAACCUCUUUGGGAUCUGGAGAGAGCAGCUUCCAGGGGAAAAAUGUGCAUAGAUCUGGAAACCUCAGUCCCUCCUAGCCCAUGCUGCAUUCUGGCAUGAAGAAUGGGGAUGCUUUCCAAGAAUUUGGGGAAGAAGCUCCUCUGGGGCCUGGAAGAGCCCUCACCGCUCCUCUCAGCUCAAGGUGCUCAACAAAGAAACCCUGCCUUGGUCCUACACAGAGUGAAUCACAAACCUGGAAGUUCAUUUCAGGGCUGCUCUCAUUAUUAAUCAGGUAGGUCUUAAUCCACUGCCUGUGUGAGGGUUUUGUUUGUUUGAUGUUGGUGAGGCUUUCUGAGAUAACACCCAGAUACUGUUAUAAUCUGUAUAGGUUAGAAUGUCCAUAGCUGCCUUUCACCAGCCAACCUUGUAAACUGGGAAAGUGAGACAUGUUAAAUAAUGCAAGUUUG